This 505-nucleotide ribosomal RNA is filed under the name uncultured bacterium. RNAcentral's name for it is "partial 16S ribosomal RNA". It matches the Rfam family "Bacterial small subunit ribosomal RNA", at positions 28 to 507 of the family's 1533-position model. The record is from RNAcentral.
GACGAACGCUGGCGGCGUGCCUAAUACAUGCAAGUAGAACGCACAGUUUAUACCGUAGCUUGCUACACCAUAGACUGUGAGUUGCGAACGGGUGAGUAACGCGUAGGUAACCUGCCUGGUAGCGGGGGAUAACUAUUGGAAACGAUAGCUAAUACCGCAUAAUAUUGAUUAUUGCAUGAUAAUUAAUUGAAAGGUGCAAUUGCACCACUACCAGAUGGACCUGCGUUGUAUUAGCUAGUAGGUGAGGUAACGGCUCACCUAGGCGACGAUACAUAGCCGACCUGGGAGGGUGAUCGGCCACACUGGGACUGAGACACGGCCCAGACUCCUACGGGAGGCAGCAGUAGGGAAUCUUCGGCAAUGGACGAAAGUCUGACCGAGCAACGCCGCGGGAGGGAAGAAGGUUUUCGGAUCGUAAAGCUCUGUUGUAAGAGAAGAACGGGUGUGAGAGUGGAAAGUUCACACUGUGACGGUAUCUUACCAGAAAGGGACGGCUAACUACGUG